Molecule: ribosomal RNA, 279 nt
Filed under: uncultured bacterium
Lineage: Bacteria
Description: partial 16S ribosomal RNA
Rfam family: Bacterial small subunit ribosomal RNA
Source: RNAcentral
GAUGAACGCUAGCGGCAGGCUUAAUACAUGCAAGUCGUGGGGCAGCGCAGGUAGCAAUACUGGGCGGCGACCGGCAAACGGGUGCGGAACACGUACACAACCUUCCGAGAAGUGGGGAAUAGCCCAGAGAAAUUUGGAUUAAUACCCCGUAACAUAACGAUGUGGCAUCACAUUGUUAUUAUAGCUUCGGCGCUUCUUGAUGGGUGUGCGGCUGAUUAGAUAGUUGGCGGGGUAACGGCCCACCAAGUCUACGAUCAGUAGCUGAUGUGAGAGCAUGAU